This 253-nucleotide ribosomal RNA is filed under the name uncultured bacterium. RNAcentral's name for it is "partial 16S ribosomal RNA". It matches the Rfam family "Bacterial small subunit ribosomal RNA", at positions 524 to 776 of the family's 1533-position model. The record is from RNAcentral.
UACGGAGGGAGCUAGCGUUGUUCGGAAUUACUGGGCGUAAAGCGCGCGUAGGCGGCUUUGUAAGUUAGAGGUGAAAGCCCGGGGCUCAACUCCGGAACUGCCUUUAAAACUGCAUCGCUUGAAUCCGGGAGAGGUGAGUGGAAUUCCGAGUGUAGAGGUGAAAUUCGUAGAUAUUCGGAAGAACACCAGUGGCGAAGGCGACGUCCUGGACCGGCAUUGACGCUGAGGCGCGAAAGCCAGGGGAGCAAACGGG